UACCCACAGGGUGCUCUCUUCCUUCCGUGCUCUCUCCUUUUCUUUCUAGCCAACCGCCUCCACUUUCUCACCUCCCACUCAGCAGGUCCUAUUACGGACUCCCCGAAGCAGCACGUGGAAGCAGCUCUCUGGAAGGUUGCCUUAACUUAGUUGCUAAAUCCCUUACCCCACCCUGAUCUCUCAGGGACGGUAAGCACUGCCGACCUGGCCCUUCUUGGAGCUCUUUUCUUGGCCUCAGAUACCACCCUGAUGGUUUUCCUUCUAUCUCUUGAAUGGUUCCCUCUCUGAGCUCACCUUCCGACCGUGCCCCUUAAAGGCUCCUCUGUCCAUGGGAUUCUCCAGGAAAGAAUACUGGAGUGGAUUGCCAUUCCCUUCUCCAGAGGAUCUUCUCGACCCAGGGACUGAACCUGAGUCUCUUGCAUUGCAGGCAGAUUCUUUACUGUCUGAACUAUAUGGGAUAAUAUACAUAAAGCAUGGGAUAAUGCACGUAAAGCCUUCAGCACUGGGUCUGACAUAUAGCCAGCAGUCAGUUCCUGGCAGUUGCUGUUAGUAUCUUUUCUUCCUGAUCUUAGCUCCCUGACCAGGGAUUGAACCCACACCAUCUGCGUUGGAAGGCGAAGUCCUAACCACUGAACCACUAGGGAAGUUCCCCCCACACC
Long non-coding RNA from Bos taurus (domestic cattle), 659 nucleotides. Lineage: Eukaryota; Metazoa; Chordata; Mammalia; Artiodactyla; Bovidae. The record is from Ensembl.